GUGCUUGCUUUGGCAGCACAUCAGUUAAAAUUAAAAAGAUACAGAUAUUAGCAAGGCCCCUGCACAAGGACGACAUGAAAAUCUGUAAAGCUUCCCAUAUAUUU
This is a small nuclear RNA of Psammomys obesus (fat sand rat), 104 nucleotides long. NCBI's taxonomy places the organism in Eukaryota, Metazoa, Chordata, Mammalia, Rodentia, Muridae. The record is from RefSeq and is a predicted model, not a curated record.